Molecule: ribosomal RNA, 497 nt
Filed under: uncultured bacterium
Lineage: Bacteria
Description: partial 16S ribosomal RNA
Rfam family: Bacterial small subunit ribosomal RNA
Source: RNAcentral
GAUGAACGCUGGCGGCGUGCCUAAUACAUGCAAGUCGAGCGAACAGACGAGGAGCUUGCUCCUCUGACGUUAGCGGCGGACGGGUGAGUAACACGUGGAUAACCUACCUAUAAGACUGGGAUAACUUCGGGAAACCGGAGCUAAUACCGGAUAAUAUAUUUAACCGCAUGGUUCAAUAGUGAAAGACGGUUUUGCUGUCACUUAUAGAUGGAUCCGCGCGGCAUUAGCUAGUUGGUAAGGUAACGGCUUACCAAGGCAACGAUGCGUAGCCGCCCUGAGAGGGGGAUCGGCCACACUGGAACUGAGACACGGUCCAGACUCCUACGGGAGGCAGCAGUAGGGAAUCUUCGGCAAUGGGCGAAAGCCUGACGGAGCAACGCCGCGUGAGUGAUGAAGGUCUUCGGAUCUUAAAACUUUGUUAUUAGGGAAGACCAAAUGUGUAAGUAACUAUGCACGUCUUGACGGUACCUAAUCAGAAAGCCACGGCUAACUACGUG